AACGCUAGCUACAGGCUUAACACAUGCAAGUCGAGGGGUAACGAGAGGAAAGCUUGCUUUCCUUGUCGACGACCGGCGCACGGGUGAGUAACGCGUAUCCAACCUGCCCCCAACUAGGGAAUAACCUUGCGAAAGUAAGACUAAUACCCUAUAAUUUCCUCAGAUGUCAUCUGACGAGGAAUAAAGAUUUAUCGGUUGUGGAUGGGGAUGCGUCUGAUUAGCUUGUUGGCGGGGUAACGGCCCACCAAGGCAACGAUCAGUAGGGGUUCUGAGAGGAAGGUCCCCCACAUUGGAACUGAGACACGGUCCAAACUCCUACGGGAGGCAGCAGUGAGGAAUAUUGGUCAAUGGGCGGAAGCCUGAACCAGCCAAGUAGCGUGCAGGAUGACGGCCCUAUGGGUUGUAAACUGCUUUUAUACAGGAAUAAAGUUAGCCACGUGUGGUUAUUUGUAGGUACUGUAUGAAUAAGGACCGGCUAAUUCCGUGCCAGCAGCCGCGGUAAUACGGAAGGUCCAGGCGUUAUCCGGAUUUAUUGGGUUUAAAGGGAGCGUAGGCCGUCUGUUAAGCGUGUUGUGAAAUGUAGAUGCCCAACAUCUGAAUUGCAGCGCGAACUGGCAGACUUGAGUGUGCGCAACGUAGGCGGAAUUCGUGGUGUAGCGGUGAAAUGCUUAGAUAUCACGAAGAACUCCGAUUG
RNAcentral lists this ribosomal RNA (694 nucleotides) under uncultured bacterium. RNAcentral describes it as "bacterial SSU rRNA". It matches the Rfam family "Bacterial small subunit ribosomal RNA", at positions 32 to 715 of the family's 1533-position model. The record is from RNAcentral.